Molecule: ribosomal RNA, 1358 nt
Filed under: uncultured bacterium
Lineage: Bacteria
Description: bacterial SSU rRNA
Rfam family: Bacterial small subunit ribosomal RNA
Source: RNAcentral
GAUGAACGCUAGCUACAGGCUUAACACAUGCAAGUCGAGGGGCAGCAUGGUCUUAGCUUGCUAAGGCCGAUGGCGACCGGCGCACGGGUGAGUAACACGUAUCCAACCUGCCGUCUACUCUUGGACAGCCUUCUGAAAGGAAGAUUAAUACAAGAUGGCAUCAUGAGUCCACAUGUUCACAUGAUUAAAGGUAUUCCGGUAGACGAUGGGGAUGCGUUCCAUUAGAUAGUAGGCGGGGUAACGGCCCACCUAGUCUUCGAUGGAUAGGGGUUCUGAGAGGAAGGUCCCCCACAUUGGAACUGAGACACGGUCCAAACUCCUACGGGAGGCAGCAGUGAGGAAUAUUGGUCAAUGGGCGAGAGCCUGAACCAGCCAAGUAGCGUGAAGGAUGACUGCCCUAUGGGUUGUAAACCUCUUUUAUAAAGGAAUAAAGUCGGGUAUGGAUACCCGUUUGCAUGUACUUUAUGAAUAAGGAUCGGCUAACUCCGUGCCAGCAGCCGCGGUAAUACGGAGGAUCCGAGCGUUAUCCGGAUUUAUUGGGUUUAAAGGGAGCGUAGAUGGAUGUUUAAGUCAGUUGUGAAAGUUUGCGGCUCAACCGUAAAAUUGCAGUUGAUACUGGAUAUCUUGAGUGCAGUUGAGGCAGGCGGAAUUCGUGGUGUAGCGGUGAAAUGCUUAGAUAUCACGAAGAACUCCGAUUGCGAAGGCAGCCUGCUAAGCUGCAACUGACAUUGAGGCUCGAAAGUGUGGGUAUCAAACAGGAUUAGAUACCCUGGUAGUCCACACGGUAAACGAUGAAUACUCGCUGUUUGCGAUAUACAGCAAGCGGCCAAGCGAAAGCGUUAAGUAUUCCACCUGGGGAGUACGCCGGCAACGGUGAAACUCAAAGGAAUUGACGGGGGCCCGCACAAGCGGAGGAACAUGUGGUUUAAUUCGAUGAUACGCGAGGAACCUUACCCGGGCUUAAAUUGCAGAUGAAUUACGGUGAAAGCCGUAAGCCGCAAGGCAUCUGUGAAGGUGCUGCAUGGUUGUCGUCAGCUCGUGCCGUGAGGUGUCGGCUUAAGUGCCAUAACGAGCGCAACCCUUGUUGUCAGUUACUAACAGGUUCCGCUGAGGACUCUGACAAGACUGCCAUCGUAAGAUGUGAGGAAGGUGGGGAUGACGUCAAAUCAGCACGGCCCUUACGUCCGGGGCUACACACGUGUUACAAUGGGGGGUACAGAGGGCCGCUACCACGCGAGUGGAUGCCAAUCCCAAAAACCUCUCUCAGUUCGGACUGGAGUCUGCAACCCGACUCCACGAAGCUGGAUUCGCUAGUAAUCGCGCAUCAGCCACGGCGCGGUGAAUACGUUCCCGGGCCU